This 348-nucleotide unclassified non-coding RNA is filed under the name soil metagenome. Its description in RNAcentral is "partial contains 5.8S ribosomal RNA, internal transcribed spacer 2, and large subunit ribosomal RNA". The stretch from base 1 to 120 matches the Rfam family "5.8S ribosomal RNA", at positions 35 to 154 of the family's 154-position model. The record is from RNAcentral.
GAUGAAGAACGUAGUGAAAUGCGAAAAGUAAUGUGAAUUGCAGAAUUCAGUGAACCAUCGAAUCUUUGAACGCACAUUGCGCCCGCUGGAACUCCGGCGGGCACGCCUGUCCGAGCGUCAUUUCAACCCUCAGGCCCCCCUUCGCGGGCGGGCCUGGUGUUGGGGCCCGGCCGCUACCCUGCGGCCGUCCCCUAAAUUCAGUGGCGGCCUCGCCGUGAUCCCUUGCGUAGUAAUGCACCUCGCACCGGAGAGCGCCGUGGCCACGCCGUAAAACCCCCAAUUUUCAAUGGUUGACCUCGAAUCAGGUGGGAAUACCCGCUGAACUUAAGCAUAUCAAUAAGCGGAGGA